Molecule: microRNA, 23 nt
Filed under: Gallus gallus (chicken)
Lineage: Eukaryota; Metazoa; Chordata; Aves; Galliformes; Phasianidae
Description: gga-miR-3531-3p
Source: miRBase by way of RNAcentral
CCUUGCAACACAAACAGGAGACA